GAAAAUAGUCAGCCUUGGGCUUCCCUCACAUGGGUUAGUCCGCCUCGUUUCAACGCCAGCCAAGAGGCGCUUGUUGCGUCGAACUGUGGAUGGUCAGCUGGGACGGGUCAAGGGUGUGGAGCACUGUAUCGAGCUGAAUGGUGCACAGAGGUCGAGUAAGCCGUACCCUGUACCUCACACACUGAAAGGUGUUGUCCAGGAGCAGAUAGCUGAGUGGCUACACGGCUGCACAGGGUCCGGUCGACGCGCGGCGCCAUGCUGCUGGGGGUUCCUGCGGCCUCGGUCCUGCAACCGAUGGUGUCGACAGCCGAUACGCCGCCCAUCAUCGGCGCCCUGGCCCCUAUGGGCUGGAGCUUGCUGCUGCGGCACUGUUGGCACGGGGCCCGCGUUGCCGCCGUGGCGCCAUCAGCCUGGGGCUGUUCCGCAUCAGAACCGACAGCCCGGGGAUUCUACCGCCGUAGCGCCGGCCGUGAACACUCAGAUUCACGCUCAAGCGUCGCGCCAUAUGCCUGAGCGACGCGCUAAGCCGGCGCCCUCUGGCAUCACCUCGAACGGCGCCACAUCAUCUGAUGGGCAGCGCCACUUCAUCCGACGUUCAUGCCUGGGAGCGGCGCCGGAUCGGCGUCACCCUGGGCGGCGCCGCCUCAUCCGGCGAACAGCUUUGUUCACGCCUGAGCGCCGCGGCAUUCGCCUGAGCGCCCGCCAUGUCGGCGCCCUCUGGCGCCGCCCCAGGCGGCGCCACAUCACCUGGUGGACGCGCCACAUCAUCUGAUGGACGGCGCCACUUCGCCGUAUGGGCGGCGCUGCAUCGUCUGGUUGACGGUGCCACAUCAUCUGAUGGUCAGCGCCACACCAUCACCCGUUGUUCGCGCCUGAGCGUCGCGCGACACCGGCGCCGCCCUGAACAGUGCCACCUCAUCCGACGAACAUCUUCGUUCACGCCUGAGCGCCGCGCCAUCUCGAUGCCCUCUAGCGCCACCUUGGACAGCACUACCUCAUCGGACGUUCACGCCUGAGCGCUACGCUUUGCCGGUGCCCUCUAGCGCCACCUUGGCCAGCGCCACCUCAUCCGGCGAUCCCAGCGCUGAUCCGACAGCGCUGAUGGGGUUGACGGAUUGCUCCCCACAAUCGCUGUUGGCGGCGCACAGGGUAUAAUGCUGCAGCACCCGUCCGAAGAUGGACAAAGCGGGCCUUGAGCGGGCCGCAAUUUCCCAUUUUCUGCCAUGAUUUGAUUUACCGUGAGCCGUGAUUUUGAUGAUUUCUCACCCUGACGUUCUGGUUUAUGAUGGCGUCACCACCUCCAGCAGCCUUCACUAAUAACUAACUGUCUUCCCCCUAACAUUACUAAUCCCUGUGAUCUCCUUUCCUUGCCAUCCGGUGGCGCCAUCAAGUCUUCUAGUUACGCACUGUUUAUAUGUGUAUAUCGAAUUGAACCUGCCUGUAUAACACCCAAUAAACCGCCGGUGGAAACCGGAAGCGAACGAACGAAAAAACUAUAAAAAAGCCGUUUUUACGAAAAGUGUUUUUCGGCAAUAACUU
This is a long non-coding RNA of Amphibalanus amphitrite, 1539 nucleotides long. RefSeq lists it as uncharacterized. Lineage: Eukaryota; Metazoa; Arthropoda; Thecostraca; Balanomorpha; Balanidae. The transcript is spliced from 3 exons. The record is from RefSeq and is a predicted model, not a curated record.